Molecule: ribosomal RNA, 253 nt
Filed under: uncultured bacterium
Lineage: Bacteria
Description: partial 16S ribosomal RNA
Rfam family: Bacterial small subunit ribosomal RNA
Source: RNAcentral
UACGUAGGGGGCAAGCGUUGUCCGGAUUUAUUGGGCGUAAAGAGCGUGUAGGCGGCCUGAAAGGUCAGCUGUGAAGACUCGAGGCUCAACCUCGAGACGUCGGUUGAAACCAUCUGGCUAGAGUCCGGAAGAGGAGUGUGGAAUUCCCGGUGUAGCGGUGAAAUGCGCAGAUAUCGGGAAGAACACCCGUGGCGAAGGCGGCACUCUGGGACGGUACUGACGCUGAGACGCGAAAGCGUGGGGAGCGAACAGG